Molecule: ribosomal RNA, 1211 nt
Filed under: uncultured organism
Description: bacterial SSU rRNA
Rfam family: Bacterial small subunit ribosomal RNA
Source: RNAcentral
AUACCGCAUGUGUCCCCGGAAUCGCAUGGUUCCGGGAAGAAAGGUGGCCUCUCCUUGGAAGCUAUCGCUUAAGGAUGGUCCCGCGUCCCAUUAGCUUGUUGGUGGGGUAAUGGCCUACCAAGGCGACGAUGGGUAGCCGGCCUGAGAGGGUGUCCGGCCACACUGGGACUGAGAUACGGCCCAGACUCCUACGGGAGGCAGCAGUCGAGAAGCUUCGGCAAUGGGCGAAAGCCUGACCGAGCGACGCCGCGUGAGCGAUGAAGGUCCUAUGGAUUGUAAAGCUCUGUCAGAUUGGGAAGAAAACUUCGCGAUUAAUACCCGCGAAGCUUGACGGUACCAUCAGAGGAAGCACCGGCUAACUCCGUGCCAGCAGCCGCGGUAAUACGGAGGGUGCGAGCGUUGUUCGGAUUCACUGGGUAUAAAGGGUGCGUAGGCGGCCUCGUAAGUCAGGGGUGAAAUAUGACGGCUCAACCGUCAAACUGCCCCUGAAACUGCAAGGCUUGAGUCCGGGAGAGGAAGGUGGAAUUCCUGGUGUAGCGGUGAAAUGCGUAAAUAUCAGGAGGAACACCGGUGGCGAAGGCGGCCUUCUGGUCCGGUACUGACGCUGAGGCACGAAAGCUAGGGGAGCGAACAGGAUUAGAUACCCUGGUAGUCCUAGCCGUAAACGAUGGGCACUAGGUGUCGGAGGAGUCUACCCCUUCGGUGCCGCAGCUAAUGCAUUAAGUGCCCCACCUGGGGAGUACGAUCGCAAGGUUGAAACUCAAAGGAAUUGACGGGGGCCCGCACAAGCGGUGGAGCAUGUGGUUUAAUUCGAUGCAACGCGAAGAACCUUACCUGGGCUUGACAUGCAGGGGACAGGUGCAGAAAUGUACCCUUCUUCGGACCCCUGUGCAGGUGCUGCAUGGCUGUCGUCAGCUCGUGUCGUGAAAUGUUGGGUUAAGUCCCGCAACGAGCGCAACCCCUGUCUUCAGUUGCCAUCAGUUCGGCUGGGGACUCUGGAGAGACUGCCGGUGACAAACCGGAGGAAGGUGGGGACGACGUCAAGUCAUCAUGGCCCUUACGCCCAGGGCUACACACGUGCUACAAUGGUCGGUACAAUGGGCAGCAAUACCGUGAGGUGGAGCGAAUCCCAAAAAGCCGGCCUCAGUUCGGAUUGGAGUCUGCAACUCGACUCCAUGAAGUCGGAAUCGCUAGUAAUCGCGUAUCAGCAU